RNAcentral lists this ribosomal RNA (198 nucleotides) under uncultured bacterium. RNAcentral's name for it is "partial 16S ribosomal RNA". It matches the Rfam family "Bacterial small subunit ribosomal RNA", at positions 1295 to 1500 of the family's 1533-position model. The record is from RNAcentral.
GGAUCGGAGUCUGCAACCCGACUCCGUGAAGCUGGAUUCGCUAGUAAUCGCGCAUCAGCCAUGGCGCGGUGAAUACGUUCCCGGGCCUUGUACACACCGCCCGUCAAGCCAUGGGAGCCGGGGGUGCUUGAAGUGCGUCGCCGCAAGGCGCGCCCUAGAGCAAAACCGGUGACUGGGGCUAAGUCGUAACAAGGUAAC